This 420-nucleotide ribosomal RNA is filed under the name uncultured Synergistaceae bacterium. RNAcentral describes it as "bacterial SSU rRNA". It matches the Rfam family "Bacterial small subunit ribosomal RNA", at positions 8 to 432 of the family's 1533-position model. The record is from RNAcentral. Lineage: Bacteria; Thermotogati; Synergistota; Synergistia; Synergistales; Synergistaceae.
AGAGUUUGAUCCUGGCUCAGGACGAACGCUGGCGGCGUGCUUAACACAUGCAAGUCGAACGGUCGGCACUGGAAGGUUCGCUGGAAGGUGCCGGUAGUGGCGGACGGGUGAGUAACGCGUGAGGACAUGGCUCCAGGAGGGGGAUAACGUUUGGAAACGGACGCUAAGACCCCAUAUGCCGGAAGGUGAAACUGGCGCAAGCCAGCCUGGAGAGUGACUCGCGUCCUAUCAGCUAGUUGGUGGGGUGAAGGCCUACCAAGGCGAUGACGGGUAGCCGACCUGAGAGGGUGGCCGGCCACACUGGAACUGAGAUACGGUCCAGACUCCUACGGGAGGCAGCAGUGGGGAAUAUUGGGCAAUGGGCGAAAGCCUGACCCAGCGACGCCGCGUGGGGGAAGAAGUCUUUCGGGAUGUAAACCC